CAGUUACCUAAAUGGCAUGAAUAAUAUUUCCAAUAUAUAAAUUAAUAUGGUUAUUUCAUUUGUUUAUGGUGAGCAUGGUUUUCAUGGUGCGCAGUAUAUUUUUGUGUUGUAUUGGGGUGGAAUCUUCUAUUCUACUUCCUGGGGGACAUAAUUCAGGGACGUACAGGAAAGGGAUAUCUUGAAAAACAGCGGUAAUCCAGUUUUCGCCUACCAGGACCAAAGAAGACUUAAGCUUUAUGUGUGAGAUGUAUUUGAUGAAUAUUGCAAGAGAAGAAUGUAACGCGGGUCAUUUAACGUUUGAAUGGACCCCGGUUGUGGAAUAUUGUUCUUGAAGAAAUGUUAUGAAGAGUGAUGAACCUUUGUGUGCAACGAACCUAGCUCCUUUUGGUAACAAGCUGCCAGCGAGUUUUCACGGGACGAAGCUGAAUAAAGAACGCCCUGUAGUUUAAAA
Long non-coding RNA from Scatophagus argus, 451 nucleotides. RefSeq lists it as uncharacterized. The record is from RefSeq and is a predicted model, not a curated record. The transcript has 2 exons. NCBI's taxonomy places the organism in Eukaryota, Metazoa, Chordata, Actinopteri, Scatophagidae.